UUGGUGACCUGCCCUGAAGUGGGGGAUACCGGAUCGAAAGGUCCGCUAAUACCGCAUGAGAUCUCGCUAGUUAGAGAGGCGAGAAGAAAGCCGAAAGGCGCUUUAGGAGGGACCUGCGUCCCAUCAGCUAGUUGGUAAGGUAGUGGCUUACCAAGGCGAUGACGGGUAGGGGACCUGAGAGGGUGGCCCCCCACAAUGGAACUGAAACACGGUCCAUACACCUACGGGUGGCAGCAGUAGGGAAUAUUGGUUAAUGGGCGAAAGCCUGACCCAGCAACGCCGCGUGAACGAUG
This 293-nucleotide ribosomal RNA is filed under the name uncultured Anaerolineae bacterium. RNAcentral describes it as "partial 16S ribosomal RNA". It matches the Rfam family "Bacterial small subunit ribosomal RNA", at positions 118 to 410 of the family's 1533-position model. Lineage: Bacteria; Bacillati; Chloroflexota; Anaerolineae. The record is from RNAcentral.